RNAcentral lists this non-coding RNA (1085 nucleotides) under Cryptosporidium parvum. The record is from RNAcentral. Lineage: Eukaryota; Apicomplexa; Conoidasida; Eucoccidiorida; Cryptosporidiidae.
UGAUAAAUACCUUUUAAAUGAUUAUUAUAGUCGAGUUUUGAGAAUAAUUUCCUUGGUUAAACCCAUCGUGAACUAUGCUAGAUCCUUCAAUAUCAACAUUAUACUCCUUUGAUCUAAGACUUAUUGUGCCAAGAACGCCUUCUUGCCUAAGGGUUAGUUGGGUAACAACAUCAUAAUUGGAAUAAUUUUUUAAGGGGAACUGACGCUUCCCUACAGUAACUCUAUCUGGAUAAAUGGUAAUUAUUUCAUUAGAAAUAAUAUCAAAUACUUGGUUAUUAUAGUAGAAUUUACCAUUAUUAACUUUGUAUAUAAUACCAUUAAUGUUAACUUCUUGUAUUGAUCCUGGAUUGUGAGAUAACUUUACUACAACUUCUGUGAGAGAGGACUGAUAAGUUGUAAUUAAUCCGUAUUCUCCAAUAGAAUUACAGCUACAAACUAUUUUUCCCUGUUUGAAUUUAGUUUCACAGCCAUUUUGAUACCAAGAACCAUCUUUUCCCUUAUAUGUGCAUUGGUAGCUUAAACGCUUACCCAAAACAACACUAGGAGUGUAUUCUGGGCUAACAAUAAAACUGAUUUUGUUCUCAAUCCCGUAAAGACGAUAUUCAUAGCCGCAUUUAGAUAUAAAUACGUCAUACACUUUUUGAAAUACUCCAUUAAAGCUUUUAUCUUGCUGAAUUUUAUUGGCUAAUUCAAAAAGAUAAUUAUACAAUGGAGGUUUAAUAAUAGUAAGGCCAUAUCUAGGAUCAUGGCAGUUAACGAAUAAAUUUCUUCCCCAAAAUUCUUGGUAGUCAACAUUCUCAUGAUGUAACUUAAAGUAUAUGUUCUUUAUCAACGAAAUAUCAAUAUUUUCAAGUUUUUCAUUACUAAGGUCAAGAGUAGGAAUAACUAGUUCAUUUCCAAUAGCUGCACCGCUAUGUAAAUCUAAAUUAGAAAAUAUUGAACUUUGAAUUGAUAAUUUUGUCAUUUUCCCCUUAAUUUCUAUCUGGCUACCAAAGUCAUUAUUCAUUGCCCAUUGGUUAACUGAAAAUGCUCCGAACAAAUUAGUAUCAGCUUCAAUAUUAUUAAGUAGUCUUAAUUCAACCAAG